Non-coding RNA from Pan troglodytes (chimpanzee), 117 nucleotides. It matches the Rfam family "Metazoan signal recognition particle RNA". From Rfam's summary of the family: The signal recognition particle (SRP) is a universally conserved ribonucleoprotein. It is involved in the co-translational targeting of proteins to membranes. The record is from Rfam. Lineage: Eukaryota; Metazoa; Chordata; Mammalia; Primates; Hominidae.
GCUGGGUGUGGUGGCUCACACCUGUAAUCCUAGCACUUUGGGAGGCCGAGGUGGGAGGAUCACUUGAGGUCAGGAGUUCGAGACCAGCCUGGCCAACAUGGUGAAAUCCCGUCUCUA